Molecule: ribosomal RNA, 450 nt
Filed under: uncultured bacterium
Lineage: Bacteria
Description: partial 16S ribosomal RNA
Rfam family: Bacterial small subunit ribosomal RNA
Source: RNAcentral
GUGGGGAAUUUUGGACAAUGGGCGCAAGCCUGAUCCAGCAAUGCCGCGUGCAGGAAGAAGGCCUUCGGGUUGUAAACUGCUUUUGUACGGAACGAAACGGUCCUGGUUAAUACCCGGGGCUAAUGACGGUACCGUAAGAAUAAGCACCGGCUAACUACGUGCCAGCAGCCGCGGUAAUACGUAGGGUGCAAGCGUUAAUCGGAAUUACUGGGCGUAAAGCGUGCGCAGGCGGUGCUGUAAGACAGGCGUGAAAUCCCCGGGCUUAACCUGGGAAUUGCGCUUGUGACUGCAGUGCUGGAGUGCGGCAGAGGGGGAUGGAAUUCCGCGUGUAGCAGUGAAAUGCGUAGAUAUGCGGAGGAACACCGAUGGCGAAGGCAAUCCCCUGGGCCUGCACUGACGCUCAUGCACGAAAGCGUGGGGAGCAAACAGGAUUAGAUACCCGGGUAGUCC